This 1285-nucleotide ribosomal RNA is filed under the name Ochthebius atriceps. RNAcentral describes it as "16S ribosomal RNA". The stretch from base 1044 to 1202 matches the Rfam family "Archaeal large subunit ribosomal RNA", at positions 2542 to 2701 of the family's 2987-position model. Lineage: Eukaryota; Metazoa; Arthropoda; Insecta; Coleoptera; Hydraenidae. The record is from RNAcentral.
AUUUAAUAUUUUAUUAUUAUUAUUUUUUAAUUAAAAUAUUUUUUAUUUUUAUUAAUAAUAUUGAAAAAAUUUUUUUUAUUAUAGUUUAUAGUAUAGUGAUAGAACAAUUAAAUAUUUUGAAAAUUUAAAUUUUUAAAAGAAUAAUUAAUUUUUAGUACCUUGUGUAUCAGGGUUUAUUAAUUAAAUAUUAUAUAUUUUAAUUUUCUCGAUUUUAAAAGAGUUAAAAGUUUAUAUUUUUUAAUGUUAAAUAAUUAUUAAUAAUAAAUUUUUAGUAAUGAAACGUUAUUCGAUUUUAAAUAUAUCUAGUUUUUUAAGAAAUAAAUUUAAUUUAUUUAUUAAUAAAAAAUUAAUUUUAUUUAUAAAAUUAAUUUUAUUAAUAAAAAAUAUUUUAAGGGAUAAGCUUUAAAAUAAAUUUAUAUAAUUAUUUUAAUUUUAAAAUUAAAUUUAGGAUUAAAAAUUUCUAAUAUUAAUAGUUUGUUAUAAUUAAUUUUUUAUAAUAAUUAUUUAUAUUUAAUUUAUAUUUUUUAUUAAAAAUUUUUAUUUAAUUUUUAAUUAAAAGUUAUAAUGAUAAAAUUAGUAUAAUUUAUUUUUAAAAAUAAUUUAUUUUUAAAAGGUUAAAUUAAGGAAUUCGGCAAAAUAAUUUUUCGCCUGUUUAAUAAAAACAUGUCUUUUUGAUUAUAAUUUAAAGUCUAACCUGCCCAAUGAAAGUUUAAAUGGCCGCGGUAUUUUGACCGUGCAAAGGUAGCAUAAUCAUUAGUUUUUUAAUUGAAAGCUGGAAUGAAUGGUUGGACGAGAAAAUUACUGUCUCAAUUUAAUUUAAUUAGAAUUUUAUUUUUAAGUUAAAAAGCUUAAAUUUUUUUAAAAGACGAGAAGACCCUAUAGAGUUUUAUAUAUAAUUAUUUAUUUUUUUUUAUAAUUUUUAUUAAAUAGUAUUAUAUUUUAUUGGGGUGAUAAAUAAAUUUAAUUAACUUUAUUUAAUUUAUUACAUAUAUUUAUGAAUUAAUGAUCCAUUUUUUAUGAUUAAAAGAUUAAAUUACCUUAGGGAUAACAGCGUAAUUUUUUUUAAGAGUUCUUAUCGAAAAAAAAGAUUGCGACCUCGAUGUUGGAUUAAAAUUUAUUUUUGGUGUAGAAGCUAAAAUAUUGAGUCUGUUCGACUUUUAAAAUUUUACAUGAUCUGAGUUUAAACCGGUGUGAGCCAGGUUGGUUUCUAUCUUUAAAUAUAAUAAAAUAUUUUAGUACGAAAGGACCAGAUAUUUAUAAAAUUUAUUAUUUUUUGAAUAAUAUU